AUUGAACGCUGGCGGCAGGCUUAACACAUGCAAGUCGAGCGGGGGAAGGUAGCUUGCUACCGGACCUAGCGGCGGACGGGUGAGUAAUGCUUAGGAAUCUGCCUAUUAGUGGGGGACAACAUCUCGAAAGGGAUGCUAAUACCGCAUACGUCCUACGGGAGAAAGCAGGGGAUCUUCGGACCUUGCGCUAAUAGAUGAGCCUAAGUCGGAUUAGCUAGGUGGGGGGGUAAAGGCCUACCAAGGCGACGAUCUGUAGCGGGUCUGAGAGGAUGAACCGCCACACUGGGACCGAGACACGGCCCAGACUCCUACGGGAGGCAGCGGUGGGGAAUAUUGGACAAUGGGGGGAACCCUGAUCCAGCCAUGCCGCGUGUGGGAAGAAGGCCUUAUGGUUGUAAAGCACUUUAAGCGAGGAGGAGGCUACUCUAGUUAAUACCUAGGGAUAGUGGACGUUACUCGCAGAAUAAGCACCGGCUAACUCUGUGCCAGCCGCCGCGGUAA
This 501-nucleotide ribosomal RNA is filed under the name uncultured bacterium. Its description in RNAcentral is "partial 16S ribosomal RNA". It matches the Rfam family "Bacterial small subunit ribosomal RNA", at positions 30 to 523 of the family's 1533-position model. The record is from RNAcentral.